ACCAUGCAAGUCNAGCGGCAGCACGGGUACUUGUUACCUGGUUGGCGAGCGGCGGACGGGUGAGUAAUGCCUAGGAAUCUGCCUGGUAGUGGGGGAUAACGCUCGGAAACGGACGCUAAUACCGCAUACGUCCUACGGGAGAAAGCAGGGGACCUUCGGGCCUUGCGCUAUCAGAUGAGCCUAGGUCGGAUUAGCUAGUUGGUGAGGUAAUGGCUCACCAAGGCGACGAUCCGUAACUGGUCUGAGAGGAUGAUCAGUCACACUGGAACUGAGACACGGUCCAGACUCCUACGGGAGGCAGCAGUGGGGAAUAUUGGACAAUGGGCGAAAGCCUGAUCCAGCCAUGCCGCGUGUGUGAAGAAGGUCUUCGGAUUGUAAAGCACUUUAAGUUGGGAGGAAGGGCAGUUACCUAAUACGUAUCUGUUUUGACGUUACCGACAGAAUAAGCACCGGCUAACUCUGUGCCAGCAGCCGCGGUAAUACAGAGGGUGCAAGCGUUAAUCGGAAUUACUGGGCGUAAAGCGCGCGUAGGUGGUUUGUUAAGUUGGAUGUGAAAUCCCCGGGCUCAACCUGGGAACUGCAUUCAAAACUGACAAGCUAGAGUAUGGUAGAGGGUGGUGGAAUUUC
Molecule: ribosomal RNA, 627 nt
Filed under: uncultured Pseudomonas sp.
Lineage: Bacteria; Pseudomonadati; Pseudomonadota; Gammaproteobacteria; Pseudomonadales; Pseudomonadaceae
Description: bacterial SSU rRNA
Rfam family: Bacterial small subunit ribosomal RNA
Source: RNAcentral